AUGCUUAACACAUGCAAGUCGAACGGUAACAGAUAAGAUGAUCUCUUCGGAGUGAAUCUUUGCUGACGAGUGGCGGACGGGUGAGUAAUGCUUGGGAAUCUGCCCAAUAGUGGGGGAAAACUCGGGGAAACCCGGGCUAAUACCGCAUAAUCUCUACGGAGGAAAGAGGGCCUCUACAUGUAAGCUCUCGCUAAUGGAUGAGCCCAAGUCAGAUUAGCUUGUUGGUAAGGUAAUGGCUUACCAAGGCUACGAUCUGUAGCUGGUCUGAGAGGACGACCAGCCACACUGGGACUGAGACACGGCCCAGACUCCUACGGGAGGCAGCAGUGGGGAAUAUUGCACAAUGGGCGCAAGCCUGAUGCAGCAAUGCCGCGUGUGUGAAGAAGGCUCUAGGGUUGUAAAGCACUUUCAAUAGAGAAGAAAAGCUUGAAAUUAAUACUUUCAAGCCUUGACGUAACCUAUACAAGAAGCACCGGCUAAUUCCGUGCCAGCAGCCGCGGUAAUACGGGAGGUGCGAGCGUUAAUCGGAAUUACUGGGCGUAAAGCGAGCGUAGGCUGUUAAUUAAGUCGAAUGUGAAAUCCCCGGGCUCAACCUGGGAACUGCAUCCGAAACUAUUUAACUAGAGUAUGGGAGAGGAAAGUAGAAUUUCCGGUGUAGCGGUGAAAUGCGUAGAUAUCUGAAGGAACACCAGUGG
RNAcentral lists this ribosomal RNA (695 nucleotides) under uncultured bacterium. Its description in RNAcentral is "bacterial SSU rRNA". It matches the Rfam family "Bacterial small subunit ribosomal RNA", at positions 44 to 715 of the family's 1533-position model. The record is from RNAcentral.